GAAACGCGAAAUGUAAUGUGAAUUGCAGAACCCCCGUGAAUCAUCGAAUCUUUGAACGCACCUUGCGCCCAGGGGCAUUCCCCUGGGCAUGCCUGUCUGAGUGUCGCGCCCCUCUCGCUCAAGUUGCUUGAUGCGGACCGUGGCGGCGGCCGUCUGGCCCCGCCGAAACGCGCUCGGGACCCGGUCCGACGUUGUAGACCGUCGUCGGCCGCCCCUCGUUCGACCUUUUCGACCUCAGAUCAAGCAGGACUACCCGCUGAACUUAA
This 266-nucleotide unclassified non-coding RNA is filed under the name uncultured Basidiomycota. Its description in RNAcentral is "sequence contains ITS1". The stretch from base 1 to 106 matches the Rfam family "5.8S ribosomal RNA", at positions 50 to 154 of the family's 154-position model. The record is from RNAcentral. Lineage: Eukaryota; Fungi; Basidiomycota.